GCUCAGAACGAACGCUGGCGGCGCGUUUUAAGCAUGCAAGUCGAACGGGAUCAUUCCUUCGGGGAUGUGAGAGUGGCGAACGGGUGAGUAACACGUAGGUGAUCUACCGCUUGGCGGGGGAUAGCCCAUGGAAACAUGGGGUAAUACCGCAUACGACCGAUCUGCUGUGGCGGGUUGGGGAAAGGCGCUUAGGCGUCACCGAGCGAUGAGCCUGCGGCUGAUUAGCUGGUUGGUAGGGUAACGGCCUACCAAGGCAACGAUCAGUAGCCGGCCUGAGAGGGUGAUCGGCCACACUGGGACUGAGAUACGGCCCAGACAACUACGGUUGGCAGCAGCUAAGAAUCUUCCGCAAUGGACGAAAGUCUGACGGAGCGACGCCGCGUGGGCGAUGAAGGCCGUGAGGUUGUAAAGCCCUUUUCUAUCGGAGGAAUAAGCCUGGGAGGGAAUGCCCGGGUGAUGACGGUACGGUAGGAAUAAGCCCCGGCCAAUUACGUGCCAGCAGCCGCGGUAACACGUAAGGGGCGAGCGUUGUUCGGAAUUAUUGGGCGUAAAGGGCACGUAGGCGGCACGGUAAGCCUGGUGUGAAAGACCGCAGCUUAACUGCGGAGACGCGCUGGGAACUGCCGAGCUUGAGUGCUGGAGGGGGAGCUGGAAUUCCAGGUGUAGGGGUGAAAUCUGUAGAUAUCUGGAAGAACACCGGUGGUGAAGACGAGCUCCUGGCCAGAUACUGACGCUGAGGUGCGAAAGCGUGGGGAGCGAACAGGAUUAGAUACCCUGGUAGUCCACGCCGUAAACGAUGUGCACUAGCUGUUGGGUUCAUUAGCGACUCAGGUGCCGUAGCUAACGCGUUAAGUGCACCGCCUGGGGAGUAUGCUCGGCAAGAGUGAAACUCAAACGAAUUGACGGGGGCCCGCACAAGCGGUGGAGCAUGUGGUUUAAUUCGAUGAUACGCGAGGACCUUACCAGGGCUUGACAUCAUCCUGACAGCGGCAGAGAUGCCGGUUUCCUUCGGGACAGGAUGACAGGUGCUGCAUGGCUGUCGUCAGCUCGUGCCGUGAGGUGUUGGGUUAAGUCCCGUAACGAGCGCAACCCUUAUUUUUAGUUGCUAACAAGCAAUGUUGAGGACUUCUAGAGAGACUGC
This 1141-nucleotide ribosomal RNA is filed under the name uncultured organism. RNAcentral's name for it is "bacterial SSU rRNA". It matches the Rfam family "Bacterial small subunit ribosomal RNA", at positions 22 to 1152 of the family's 1533-position model. The record is from RNAcentral.